UCUUUCAUCUUUUCAGCAUACUUGUUGAGAUCAAACCCGGCUGGAUUAUGGCCCCCGAAUGCAGAUUCCAGUUUGUCCAUUUCGAAGAGGUGGUGUAUGAUUAAAAGAGAGUUCAAAAUUCGCUUGCACCCAACUAUUAUGCAACUGCAGUUGCUGGAUGAAAUCGAACAUCUAAAUGCCAUUUGGAAUGUGAAAAUUUCAGAAGACUGAAACAGAUUGUGUAAAUAGAACAAUGGAAUCAUGACAAAGGGCAUCAAAACUAUACAGUUGAAUGAUCUGGUAUCCUGAUCGCUUCUGAAGAAUUGUAUCAAGGAAGUCAAUAAGCAAUUGUACAGACAGGACUAAGGAUCUAUGGAUCACCAAUCAUGGAAAAAGAUAGGAUCGAUUUUUUUCUAGAGAGAGAGUGAGAGAUUGAUUGAUGGUGAGCAGCUGGAGAAGAAAACACUGCAGAUUAGCUCGUGAGGUGAUGGGACUUGAAACAAAAUAAGAGUCACCAAGCAACAGCUGUGGAAAGCUUGAUGUGCAAUUAAGUUAGAGGUCACCACUGACAUGGAAAGUUACAGCUACACAUAAUAGCUGCAGAUGGUGCAAUGAUGGAUCACGGCAAAAUCUCAAAACUAGGUCAUGUGAAGAAGAUUCAUGCUUUCUGGCUUCCUCUGCUCUUCCUUCUCAACGAAAAGAAAGGAGGUUCUCUUGAUACAAGAGAUCAAUCAGCCUAUGAAGGCAUGGCAAAGACCUCACUUAAGAUCCUUACAUCACAUGGAUCAAUCAAGAACAUGGAGCAAGAAACCAAGUUGCAGACCUCA
Molecule: non-coding RNA, 806 nt
Organism: Musa acuminata subsp. malaccensis (wild Malaysian banana)
Lineage: Eukaryota; Viridiplantae; Streptophyta; Magnoliopsida; Zingiberales; Musaceae
Source: RefSeq, a predicted model, not a curated record